Long non-coding RNA from Lepisosteus oculatus (spotted gar), 625 nucleotides. RefSeq lists it as uncharacterized. NCBI's taxonomy places the organism in Eukaryota, Metazoa, Chordata, Actinopteri, Semionotiformes, Lepisosteidae. The record is from RefSeq and is a predicted model, not a curated record.
UUUCCAAACGUUUUUGCUGUAAAUUCUGUCCACCUUAGUGGUAGCUUCUGUGGGGCUUUCCACUGCGCAAGUGGGCAGGGUGGUUAAGUGUGGGCCCAGUUGAAAUUGGAAGACCCCUCUUGCCAUCCAGAUCCUAUAAAACAUGGACAAGGUCCAGCAGGAGUAUAGGCGAUCAAUCAACUGUGAGAAGAUCAGUCUGAACCCAGCACCAGUUCUGAAAUUUGAAAGAUGAAAUCCACAGUCUUGGUCAUCCAACUUGUUCUUCUUGGAGCCUUAUGUUCAGUGAUAUUCUGCGAGAACAGCCAUGGGCCGAGUCUAUGUUGCUUUGAUUUCUACCCGAAGAGGCUUCCCAUUAAGGCUCUGGCCACUUAUAAGAACACAAGCUCUGAGUGCCUCGUGAAUGCUGUCAUAUUUAUCACAAGAGCCGGUUUAGAAAUUUGCGUCGAAGCUAAACCUUCUUGGGUCAAGAAACAUGUUAAAAUCCUUGAUAACCUUUCAAAAGUACAAAUUGAUAAGUCUCUUAGAAAAUAAACUGUUUAAAUCUAUCACUCAUAGUAUCACUGCAAUCUCAGAUUUUUCUGAAAUAAGAUUUAAGGUAUAAAGCAUGUGUGGUUUCCAAAAUUUU